GGACCUGUGGCCGAAUAUGGAAAGGCACUGCGGAGUAGUCUGCAAGGUUCCCGGUUCGAUUCCGGGCAGGUAAA
RNAcentral lists this transfer RNA (74 nucleotides) under Achromobacter sp. Root83. RNAcentral's name for it is "tRNA-OTHER". Lineage: Bacteria; Pseudomonadati; Pseudomonadota; Betaproteobacteria; Burkholderiales; Alcaligenaceae. The record is from RNAcentral.